This 77-nucleotide transfer RNA is filed under the name Spirochaetes bacterium ADurb.Bin215. Its description in RNAcentral is "tRNA-Arg". It matches the Rfam family "tRNA". Rfam says of the family: Transfer RNA (tRNA) molecules are approximately 80 nucleotides in length. Lineage: Bacteria; Pseudomonadati; Spirochaetota. The record is from RNAcentral.
UGCGCCUGUAGCUCAGCUGGAUAGAGCAACGGACUUCGAAUCCGUAGGUCGGGGGUUCGACUCCCUCCAGGCGCAAC